AAGUCGUAACAAGGUAACCGUAGGUGAACCUGCGGUUGGAUCAUUAACAAAUUUAGUAUGAAUCUCUUUUGAUUUGUACGAAAUAAUAAUAUGUUUUUCUAUAAGGUUAGUAAUAUAACCUAUAGUAAACAUAUUUAACAUUUAAAUGUGAACUUGUUAAUUAGAAUUUGGGAUUUCUCUUUACUGAGUAUCCCUACUUAUAUUACAAACAUCUUUUUUAUUCUUAUUAUAAUAUUUAAGAGUUUUCAAUUGACUCUUGUUUAAAAAUAGUUUUUAAAAAAAACUUUUGACAACGGAUCUCUUGGCUCUC
This 310-nucleotide unclassified non-coding RNA is filed under the name fungal sp. Its description in RNAcentral is "partial internal transcribed spacer region". The stretch from base 1 to 46 matches the Rfam family "Eukaryotic small subunit ribosomal RNA", at positions 1786 to 1831 of the family's 1831-position model. Lineage: Eukaryota; Fungi. The record is from RNAcentral.